This 253-nucleotide unclassified non-coding RNA is filed under the name uncultured bacterium. Its description in RNAcentral is "contains 16S-23S intergenic spacer region". It matches the Rfam family "Bacterial small subunit ribosomal RNA", at positions 524 to 776 of the family's 1533-position model. The record is from RNAcentral.
UACGUAGGAGGCGAGCGUUGUCCGGAAUUAUUGGGCGUAAAGGGCGCGCAGGCGGCGCCGCCGGCCCCGUGUGAAAGCCCCCGGCUCAACCGGGGAGGGUCACGGGGGACCGCGGCGCUGGAGGGUGGCAGAGGCCGGCGGAAUUCCGGGUGUAGCGGUGAAAUGCGUAGAGCCCCGGAGGAACACCAGUGGCGAAGGCGGCCGGCUGGGCCACACCUGACGCUGAGGCGCGAAGGCCAGGGGAGCGAACGGG